RNAcentral lists this ribosomal RNA (255 nucleotides) under uncultured bacterium. RNAcentral's name for it is "partial 16S ribosomal RNA". It matches the Rfam family "Bacterial small subunit ribosomal RNA", at positions 524 to 776 of the family's 1533-position model. The record is from RNAcentral.
UACGUAGGGUGCAGGCGUUAAUCGGAAUUACUGGGCGUAAAGCGUGCGCAGGCGGUCUGCUAAGAGAGAUGUGAAAUCCCCGGGCUUAACCUGGGAACUGCGUUUCUAACUGGCAGGCUUGAGUGUGGCAGAGGGGGGUGGAAUUCCACGUGUAGCAGUGGAAAUGCGUAGAGAUGUGGAGGAACACCGAUGGCGAAGGCAGCCCCCUGGGCUAACACGUGACGCUCAUGCACAAAGCGUAGGGGAGCGAAACAG